Molecule: non-coding RNA, 160 nt
Organism: Pelobates cultripes (western spadefoot toad)
Lineage: Eukaryota; Metazoa; Chordata; Amphibia; Anura; Pelobatidae
Source: the annotation of a GenBank genome assembly
CGAAGACGCAUUCGGAUGUCUGCCCUAUCAACUUUCAAUGUUACUAUCUGCGCCUACUAUGGUGACCACGGGUAACGGGGAAUCUGAGAAACGGCUACCACAUCCAAGGAAGGCAGCAGGCGCGCAAAUUAACCACUCCCAACGCGGGGAGGUAGUGACG